RNAcentral lists this ribosomal RNA (503 nucleotides) under uncultured bacterium. RNAcentral describes it as "partial 16S ribosomal RNA". It matches the Rfam family "Bacterial small subunit ribosomal RNA", at positions 30 to 523 of the family's 1533-position model. The record is from RNAcentral.
AUUGAACGCUAGCGGCAUGCCUAACACAUGCAAGUCGAACGGCAGCACGAGGAGCUUGCUCCUUGGUGGCGAGUGGCGGACGGGUGAGUAACGCGUAGGAAUCUGCCUCGUAGUGGGGGACAACCCGGAGAAACUCGGGCUAUACCGCAUAAUCUCUUCGGAGCAAAGUUGGGGACCUUCGGGCCUAACACUAUGAGAUGAGCCUGCGUUGGAUUAGCUAGUUGGUGGGGUAAAGGCCUACCAAGGCGACGAUCCAUAGCUGGUCUGAGAGGACGACCAGCCACACUGGGACUGAGACACGGCCCAGACUCCUACGGGAGGCAGCAGUGGGGAAUAUUGGACAAUGGGCGAAAGCCUGAUCCAGCAAUGCCGCGUGUGUGAAGAAGGCCUUCGGGUUGUAAAGCACUUUUAGUGGGGAAGAAAAAGACAAGGAUAAUACCCUUGGAAAUUGACGUUACCCACAGAAAAAGCACUGGCUAACUCUGUGCCAGCCGCCGCCGUAA